UUAUCUUUUUCAUUCAUUGUUUUAUCUUCAGUGCCUAGAAGAGUGCUGGAUACAUUGUAGGUGCUCAAUAACUAUUUCUUGAAGAUUGAAUGUUUAUUUAAAUAAAGGGAUGAAGUCAAUCAACUUCCAAGAGGAACUAGGACCCCAACAACUACUAUGCGUUGCUCUCAGAUGGUGUGUAAGGCCACCCUUGCUGAUGAGGCUGCAGGCGUAAUGAGCUGAGCUGCUGCCUUCAGAAGAAGCCAGAGAAAAGAACCCCAAGACAUGAGACUAUCCAGGCUACAGCAACUCCAGCAGUCUCCUUACCUGGCAGAAAGGAGCACACUCUGCUACAAUGACAUGGAAUUUCCUCUUUCGGGCAGCCUCUUUGAGGAAGGCCUCUACUGUUCGGGAGAAGCCAAUGGUCAUGAUCACCUCAUUGGAGUGAAUGUGCUCCAGAGCCUGGGCUGCAAUGUUCUCCGUUGUCCCUUCUGUAAGAACGGUUUUGC
RNAcentral lists this non-coding RNA (488 nucleotides) under Pan troglodytes (chimpanzee). The record is from RNAcentral. Lineage: Eukaryota; Metazoa; Chordata; Mammalia; Primates; Hominidae.